This is a microRNA precursor of Scleropages formosus (Asian bonytongue), 81 nucleotides long. It matches the Rfam family "mir-194 microRNA precursor family". From Rfam's summary of the family: The hairpin precursors (represented here) are predicted based on base pairing and cross-species conservation -- their extents are not known. In this case the mature sequence is excised from the 5' arm of the hairpin. The record is from Rfam. NCBI's taxonomy places the organism in Eukaryota, Metazoa, Chordata, Actinopteri, Osteoglossiformes, Osteoglossidae.
UGGUGCUUGCUGGCUGUAACAGCAACUCCAUGUGGAAGCGCUCAGGGUUCCAGUGGAGCUGCUGUUACCUGCAGACAGACG